GAGGAUACACAGGUCAACAUGCAGUAGUCUGUAGAGUAUACACAGGUCAACAUGCAGUAGUCUGUAGAGGAUACACAGGUCAACAUGUAGUAGUCUGUAGAGGAUACACAGGUCAACAUGCAGUAGUCUGUAGAGGAUACACAGGUCAACAUGUAGUAGUCUGUCUGGAGGAUACACAGGUCAACAUGCAGUAGUCUGUAGAGGAUACACAGGUCAACAUGCAGUAGUCUGUAGAGGAUACACAGGUCAACAUGCAGUAGUCUGUAGAGGAUACACAGGUCAACAUGCAGUAGUCUGUAGAGGAUACACAGGUCAACAUGCAGUAGUCUGUCUAGAGGAUACACAGGUCAACAUGCAGUAGUCUGUCUGGAGGAUACACAGGUCACCCUUGGGUCAUGGCUUAAUACUGGAUCCUGGCCCAUCCAUCCUGACUGAUUUCACUUGGCUUAUGGCUUAAUACUGGAUCCUGGCCCGUCUGUCCUGGCUGAUUUCCCUUGGGUCAUGGCUUAAUACUGGAUCGUGGUCCGUCUGUCCUGGCAGAUUUCCCUUGGGUCAUAGCUUAAUACUGGAUCCUGGCCCAUCCAUCCUGACUGAUUUCACUUGGCUUAUGGCUCAAUACUGGACCCUGGCCCGUUGGUCCUGGCUGAUUUCCCUUGGCUUAUGGCUUAAUACUGGAUCGUGGUCCGUCUGUCCUGGCUGAUUUCCCUUGGGUCAUAGCUUAAUACUGGAUCCUGGCCCAUCCAUCCUGACUGAUUUCACUUGGCUUAUGGCUCAAUACUGGACCCUGGCCCGUCGGUCCUGGCUGAUUUCCCUUGGCUUAUGGCUUAAUACCGGAUCCUGGCCCAUCGGUUCUGGCUGAUUUCCCUCAGGUCAUGGUUUAAUACUGGAUCCUGGCCCAUCAGUCCUGGCUGAUUUCCCUCAGGUCAUGGUUUAAUACCGGAUCCUGGCCCAUCGGUUCUGGCUGAUUUCCCUCAG
Molecule: long non-coding RNA, 975 nt
Filed under: Salmo salar (Atlantic salmon)
Lineage: Eukaryota; Metazoa; Chordata; Actinopteri; Salmoniformes; Salmonidae
Description: lncRNA (ENSSSAG00000082006.1)
Source: RNAcentral